This is a long non-coding RNA of Hirundo rustica (Barn swallow), 953 nucleotides long. RefSeq lists it as uncharacterized. The record is from RefSeq and is a predicted model, not a curated record. Lineage: Eukaryota; Metazoa; Chordata; Aves; Passeriformes; Hirundinidae. The transcript is spliced from 7 exons.
CUCGUCCCACCCUCGCCGCGGGAAUCCCGCGGAAGGAGGAGCCCGGCGGGAGAUGGGUCUGGCCGCUGCAGCUGUGUCCAGGGUCUGACACCCAUCACUGAGAGGGGAUACGGCUGGCAGGGGACGCGGCUUGGGACGCGGCUUGCAGGGGACGCGUGCGCGGCACGCCCUGUGCUAUGCGGGAACACGGUCGAGGAUGGCAGGAGCGUCUGCUUCACAUCAUUCCCCUCUGGAGCCCUGCACCGGUGUCUGCUGAUGCCCAGGCUUACGAGUAAAAAGCGACCCUUUCCUCCUAUUUUUCUUACUGAAAGGAGAAAGAGAGACGUUGUGAUGGGAGCCAGCUUCAGCUAAGGUCUCAGUGUUAAGAGGUUUUGAUCCUGCUAGGACCUUUGGUUAUAUUUCCGUGCACACCACCACAGCACUAACCAGCACUUCAGCUUUCUCUGGAAACUUAGAGCUCUUUGGAAGCCAAGCAUUCCACAAUGAAGAGCUUUCUGGCUUUCCUUGUUGCAACUGGCAGCAUAGUGACUCUGGCUGAUGCAUACUGCUUUGCUCUACUUCAAAAUCCAGGGAGGCCUUACAAUGGCUGUAUGUUGAAUGGAAAAGUGUAUCCCUUUGGACACAUUGAGAGGACAGAAGAUUGCUUCAGAUGCAGGUGCAGCGAAGGUUCAAUGGAAUGCUGUUCCCUCUUUCAUACUCCUGUUGGUUUCGAUAAACAGAACUGUAAAGUCAUUUUCAACAAAAAGCACUGUGACUAUGACGUGGUGCAGAAGGAUGACCCCUCAAAGGAGUGUUUUGUCUAGUCUCGUGUGGGCUAACACCUGCUCCAAGCCUCUCUGCGCUAUGGAAUUCCUCUCCUUCCUACAGAUGCUUUGCCAUCACAGAGAAGCACGAUGGCAUGGGAAAAAUCUCGUAAAAGAGAGCACUUCAGUGGCUUGCUUCUAAUCUCUUAA